CUCAUUCCAUGCAGUCGACGGCAGCACGGGUGCUUGCACCUGGUGGCGAGUGGCGAACGGGUGAGUAAUACAUCGGAACAUGUCCUGUAGUGGGGGAUAGCCCGGCGAAAGCCGGAUUAAUACCGCAUACGAUCUACGGAUGAAAGCGGGGGACCUUCGGGCCUCGCGCUAUAGGGUUGGCCGAUGGCUGAUUAGCUAGUUGGUGGGGUAAAGGCCUACCAAGGCGACGAUCAGUAGCUGGUCUGAGAGGACGACCAGCCACACUGGGACUGAGACACGGCCCAGACUCCUACGGGAGGCAGCAGUGGGGAAUUUUGGACAAUGGGCGAAAGCCUGAUCCAGCAAUGCCGCGUGUGUGAAGAAGGCCUUCGGGUUGUAAAGCACUUUUGUCCGGAAAGAAAUCCUUGGCUCUAAUACAGUCGGGGGAUGACGGUACCGGAAGAAUAAGCACCGGCUAACUACGUGCCAGCAGCCGCGGUAAUACGUAGGGUGCAAGCGUUAAUCGGAAUUACUGGGCGUAAAGCGUGCGCAGGCGGUUUGCUAAGACCGAUGUGAAAUCCCCGGGCUCAACCUGGGAACUGCAUUGGUGACUGGCAGGCUAGAGUAUGGCAGAGGGGGGUAGAAUUCCACGUGUAGCAGUGAAAUGCGUAGAGAUGUGGAGGAAUACCGAUGGCGAAAGCAGCCCCCUGGGCCAAUACUGACGCUCAUGCACGAAAGCGUGGGGAGCAACAGGAUAUAACCCCCUCUUUGUUAAUAACCGGUUUGCUCCCCAGCUUUUCCUGACAUGAGCCUCAAUAUUG
RNAcentral lists this ribosomal RNA (800 nucleotides) under Burkholderia sp. Its description in RNAcentral is "bacterial SSU rRNA". It matches the Rfam family "Bacterial small subunit ribosomal RNA", at positions 47 to 825 of the family's 1533-position model. The record is from RNAcentral. Lineage: Bacteria; Pseudomonadati; Pseudomonadota; Betaproteobacteria; Burkholderiales; Burkholderiaceae.